Molecule: ribosomal RNA, 497 nt
Filed under: uncultured Rubellimicrobium sp.
Lineage: Bacteria; Pseudomonadati; Pseudomonadota; Alphaproteobacteria; Rhodobacterales; Roseobacteraceae
Description: bacterial SSU rRNA
Rfam family: Bacterial small subunit ribosomal RNA
Source: RNAcentral
UUUAGAGUUUGGUCCUGGCUCAGGACGAACGCCUAGAGUUUGGAUCUGGCUCAGAACGAACGCUGGCGGCAGGCUUAACACAUGCAAGUCGAGCGGGCGCUUUCGGGCGUCAGCGGCGGACGGGUUAGUAACGCGUGGGAACGUGCCCUUUGAUCUGGAAUAGCCCUGGGAAACCGGGGGUAAUACCCGAUGUGCCGUGAGGGGGAAAGGUUUUACCGGCAAGGGAUCGGCCCGCGUCUGAUUAGGUAGUUGGUGUGGUAACGGCGCACCAAGCCGACGAUCGGUAGCUGGUUUGAGAGGAUGAUCAGCAACACUGGGACUGAGACACGGCCCAGACUCCUACGGGAGGCAGCAGUGGGGAAUACAGACAAUGGGCGAAAGCCUGAUCUAGCCAUGCCGCGUGGGUGAUGAAGGCCUUAGGGUCGUAAAGCCCUUUCGCCGGGGAAGAUAAUGACGGUACCCGGUAAAGAAGCACCGGCUACUACGCGCCCACCCAG